GGCCAGACUCCUACGGGAGGCAGCAGUGGGGAAUAUUGCACAAUGGGGGAAACCCUGAUGCAGCGACGCCGCGUGAGUGAGGAAGUAUUUCGGUAUGUAAAGCUCUAUCAGCAGGGAAGAAAAUGACGGUACCUGAAGAAGAAGCCCCGGCUAACUACGUGCCAGCAGCCGCGGUAAUACGUAGGGGGCAAGCGUUAUCCGGAUUUACUGGGUGUAAAGGGGGCGCAGACGGCGAUGCAAGCCAGGAGUGAAAGCCCGGGGCCCAACCCCGGGACUGCUCUUGGAACUGCGUGGCUGGAGUGCAGGAGGGGCAGGCGGAAUUCCUGGUGUAGCGGUGAAAUGCGUAGAUAUCAGGAGGAACACCGGUGGCGAAGGCGGCCUGCUGGACUGCAACUGACGUUGAGGCCCGAAAGCGUGGGGAGCAAACAGGAUUAGAUACCCUUGUA
This 446-nucleotide ribosomal RNA is filed under the name uncultured bacterium. RNAcentral's name for it is "bacterial SSU rRNA". It matches the Rfam family "Bacterial small subunit ribosomal RNA", at positions 329 to 792 of the family's 1533-position model. The record is from RNAcentral.